GAAACAAAGAAGAAAACCUAAAGAAAGCAGGAAGCGCGCAAAAACUAGAAAGAAGACACUGACAAUUUGGAAAGUAACACAUGAACUAGGUUCUGUGCUACUUGAAAAAUAUCACCUAGAGUAUAGACACAAGCAAACAAUACUCCAGCAAUGUCAAGGAAAUAAAAACAAGCUUAAACCAAAAAGGAAACUUAGAAUUCAAAUAAAAACGAAUCUGGAAAAUUUUGAAUUUAAUUCACUUCAAAGUAAAUUAAAUAUGGAUCUAUUAAAAUCUACCCAAAAAGGCAAGUAUCAAGACCCACAAAUAGAGACANN
RNAcentral lists this long non-coding RNA (315 nucleotides) under Manihot esculenta (cassava). Its description in RNAcentral is "long non-coding RNA (MESC_LNC004838)". Lineage: Eukaryota; Viridiplantae; Streptophyta; Magnoliopsida; Malpighiales; Euphorbiaceae. The record is from RNAcentral.